UAGGGAAUCUUCCACAAUGGACGCAAGUCUGAUGGAGCAACGCCGCGUGAGUGAAGAAGGUUUUCGGACCGUAAAGCUCUGUUGUUGGUGAAGAAGGAUAGAGGUAGUAACUGGCCUUUAUUUGACGGUAAUCAACCAGAAAGUCACGGCUAACUACGUGCCAGCAGCCGCGGUAAAUCGUAGGUGGCAAGCGUUGUCCGGAUUUAUUGGGCGUAAAGCGAGCGCAGGCGGAAGAAUAAGUCUGAUGUGAAAGCCCUCGGCUUAACCGAGGAAUUGCAUCGGAAACUGUUUUCUUGAGUGCAGAAGAGGAGAGUAGAACUCCAUGUGUAGCGGUGGAAUGCGUAGAUAUAUGGAAGAAUACCAGUGGCGAAGGCGGCUCUCUGGUCUGCAACUGACGCUGAGGCUCGAAAGCAUGGGUAGCGAACAGGAUUAGAUACCCUGGUAGUCCAUGCCGUAAACGAUGAGUGCUAAGUGUUGGGAGGCUUCCGCCUCUCAGUGCUGCAGCUAACGCAUUAAGCACUCCGCCUGGGGGAGUACGACCGCAAGGUUGAAACUC
RNAcentral lists this ribosomal RNA (556 nucleotides) under uncultured bacterium. Its description in RNAcentral is "partial 16S ribosomal RNA". It matches the Rfam family "Bacterial small subunit ribosomal RNA", at positions 355 to 902 of the family's 1533-position model. The record is from RNAcentral.